AGUGAACGCUGGCAGUAGGCCUAACACAUGCAAGUCGAACGGCAGCACAGUAAGAGCUUGCUCUUACGGGUGGCGAGUGGCGGACGGGUGAGGAAUACAUCGGAAUCUACUUUUUCGUGGGGGAUAACGUAGGGAAACUUACGCUAAUACCGCAUACGACCUACGGGUGAAAGCAGGGGAUCUUCGGACCUUGCGCGAUUGAAUGAGCCGAUGUCGGAUUAGCUAGUUGGCGGGGUAAAGGCCCACCAAGGCGACGAUCCGUAGCUGGUCUGAGAGGAUGAUCAGCCACACUGGAACUGAGACACGGUCCAGACUCCUACGGGAGGCAGCAGUGGGGAAUAUUGGACAAUGGGCGCAAGCCUGAUCCAGCCAUACCGCGUGGGUGAAGAAGGCCUUCGGGUUGUAAAGCCCUUUUGUUGGGAAAGAAAAGCAGCAGGUUAAUACCCCGCUGUUCUGACGGUGCCCAAAGAAUAAGCACCGGCUAACUUCGUG
Molecule: ribosomal RNA, 492 nt
Filed under: uncultured bacterium
Lineage: Bacteria
Description: partial 16S ribosomal RNA
Rfam family: Bacterial small subunit ribosomal RNA
Source: RNAcentral